Non-coding RNA from Doryrhamphus excisus (bluestripe pipefish), 1201 nucleotides. Lineage: Eukaryota; Metazoa; Chordata; Actinopteri; Syngnathiformes; Syngnathidae. The record is from RefSeq and is a predicted model, not a curated record.
ACUGUUACACAAUUAAUCGGAUAUAUAGAGGCCAAAAUACGGGCGGCGUUAGUGACAGCCGUGUGACACAGUACCAUGGCAUACGGCCAUUAGUUUCUUAGGAAUAAAUCCAAAUACAUUAUACACGAUUAACUUCCUUGGCUGACAUGUUCUCUUGCUUGAAAAGGACAUUCAUUUUUCACAGAUGUUUAAUCACUUUCAAACAAGAAGAGCCGAACCUGCUACCUAACGUUACGACGGCGGAAGUUCACCCCACCGGUUCAGCAGCAACCAUUUUGGCGGUGACAUCGUAUCAGAUUAAGAAGUAAAGUUAAAACAAAAACUAUGCACGUUGCAAGCUGCUGAAGACAAUGUGGACGUGAGACGUUGCUAAUCGACAACGUGGCGCCAUAAUGGACACACAAUCGACACUCGUGACUUGUUGACAAUGGGCUUCAAAACAAAUCCAUGGCACGUGAUUUGUCGUCAACGAUGCUUGCUAGCAGCCCACAUUAACAGUAAGGAUGUUGUUAAGGACAAUUUCUCAAGCGGGGCUGCCUCUCGUGACGACAAGAUGCCGAGCACAUGUGUGACAUAAUGAGAAGAUGCGUGGAAGAUGGCAACAUUCUACAGAUGGCCAGUGUUAUAAAUACACUCAUGCUUCAAGUAACACGGAGCCUCCGUAUCUGCAUGCAAAAAGGAACAUGAAGACUUCAAGUCAUUACUCCAUUCAAGAAUUUCACCUGGAAUUUGACAUUCUGACUUUUUGCUCCACGUAUUAAAACGAGUGUAGCUCAUGAACAAUUCCAACUGAGGUCAUUACAGCAGUAUUUUACCGCCACAUAACAUUUAACAUUUAAUUAGUCCGUCCAACCUUUAAUGCCAUUCGACAACUCUAUUUAUUAUACAUAGACUAGAAUAUGCAACCGAGGGUUUGUUUAUUUUAUUUGUUUAGUCACCCUUUAUGUGUGUGUGCAUGUAUGUAUGUGUGUGUGUGUAUAUAGUGCAUAUACAUCUCAGAAGACUGAGCUUCUAUGUAUUUAUGAAUAAAGCUAGAGUCCUGGCUAUACUAUCUAGUAGUUUGUAGGGAUGUCCGAGAUAUCUGUUUAUAUGGAGUGAUAUGAGAGAGUCAUGGCGUUGUGCUUCCACACAGCAACAAGUCUGGAAUCAUUUCCAAAUUUUCCCUUCGGAUUGUAAAUAUGCAAUUUGGAAUGAUUGUAAA